AUGGUUAGGAGUGUACCGAUUGGUGAGAAGCUCUUCAUAGGAGGAGACCUCAAUGGCCACGUGGGUACAUCUAACACAGGUUUUGAAGGGGCGCAUGGGGGCUUUGGCUAUGGCAUCAGGAAUCAAGAAGGAGAAGAUGUCUUAAGCUUUGCCCUAGCCUACAACAUGAGUGUAGCUAACACCCUCUUUAGAAAGAGAGAAUCACAUCUGGUGACUUUUAGUAGUGGCCAACACUCUAGCCAGAUUGAUUUCAUCCUCUCAAGAAGAGAAGAUAGGCGUGCGUGCCUAGACUGUAAGGUGAUACCUGGAGAGAGUGUUGUACCCCAGCAUAAGCUGGUGGUUGCUGACUUCCGCUUUCGGAUUCGUGUCCAGCGGGAUAAGUGUGCCAAAGUCGCUAGAACAAAGUGGUGGAAGCUCAAGGGGGAGGUAGCUCAGGUGUUCAAGGAGAGGGUAAUUAAGGAGGGCCUUUGGGAGGAAGGAGGGGAUGCGGACAAUGUGUGGAUGAAGAUGGCGACUUGCAUCCGUAAGGUGGCCUAG
Molecule: ribosomal RNA, 537 nt
Filed under: Triticum aestivum (bread wheat)
Lineage: Eukaryota; Viridiplantae; Streptophyta; Magnoliopsida; Poales; Poaceae
Description: partial small subunit ribosomal RNA
Source: RNAcentral